UACGUAGGGGGCGAGCGUUGUCCGAAUUCACUGGGCGUAAAGCGCGCGUAGGCGGGUUUUUAAGUUGGGGGUGAAAUCCCGAGGCUCAACCUCGGAACUGCCUCCAAAACUGGAAGCCUUGAGGUUUGGAGAGGGAAGUGGAAUUCCAGGUGUAGCGGUGAAAUGCGUAGAUAUCUGGAGGAACACCCGUGGCGAAGGCGGCUUCCUGGCCAUAUCCUGACGCUGAGGUGCGAAAGCUAGGGGAGCGAACGGG
RNAcentral lists this ribosomal RNA (253 nucleotides) under uncultured bacterium. RNAcentral describes it as "partial 16S ribosomal RNA". It matches the Rfam family "Bacterial small subunit ribosomal RNA", at positions 524 to 776 of the family's 1533-position model. The record is from RNAcentral.